GAUGAACGCUGGCGGCGUGCCUAAUACAUGCAAGUCGAGCGAACAGACCAUGAUCUUUCUCCUCUGACGUUAUCGGCUGACGUGUGUGUAACACCUGUAUAACCUACCUUUAAUACUUGUAUAACUUCGUGAAACCGCUUCUAAUACCGUAUAAUAUAUUGAACCUCAUUGUUCAUUAGUGUAAUACUUUUUUUCUGUCUCUUAUAGAUUGUUCCGCGCCGCAUUAGCUAGUUGGUAAGGUAACGUCUUACCAAGGCAACGAUGCGUAGCCGACAUGAGAGGGUGAGCGGCAAGACUGGAAGUGAGACACGGAACAGAGGACGACGGGAGGGAGCAGUAGGGAAUAUGACGGAAAGGGCGAAAGGAUGACGGAGCAAAGCGGCGUGAGUGAAGAAGGUCUUAGGAUCGUAAAACUCUGUUAUUAGGGAAGAAAAAAUGUGUAAGAAAAUAAGAACGGAUGGACGGUAAAAAAUAAGAAAGCAACGGCUAACUACGUG
RNAcentral lists this ribosomal RNA (497 nucleotides) under uncultured bacterium. RNAcentral's name for it is "partial 16S ribosomal RNA". It matches the Rfam family "Bacterial small subunit ribosomal RNA", at positions 28 to 507 of the family's 1533-position model. The record is from RNAcentral.